Molecule: ribosomal RNA, 1008 nt
Filed under: Stutzerimonas stutzeri
Lineage: Bacteria; Pseudomonadati; Pseudomonadota; Gammaproteobacteria; Pseudomonadales; Pseudomonadaceae
Description: bacterial SSU rRNA
Rfam family: Bacterial small subunit ribosomal RNA
Source: RNAcentral
CCCCCUGCGGGUGGAAAAGUUUUGGAUUUAACCAUUUAGUGGAGGAGGCAGUAGUCACCCUGCUGUUUGCGUUCCACAGAAAAGACCGCUAAUUUGUGCCGCAGCGCGAUAUACGAGGGGCAAGCGUUAUCGAAUUACUGGCGUAAGCGCGGUAGGUGUUCGUAAGUAGAUGAAAACCCCGGCUCAACUGGAAUUCAUCAAAACGGCGACUAGAGAUGCAAAGGUGGGGAAUUCCUGGUAGCGGUGAAUGCGUAGAUAUUGAAGGAACCCCAGUGCGAAGGCGACCCCUGGCUAAUGUGACACUGAGGUGCGAAAGCGUGGGAGCAACAGGAUUAGAUACCCUGGUAGUCCACGCCGUAACGAUGUCGACUAGCCGUUGGAUCCUGAGAUCUUAGUGGGCAGCUAACGCAUUAAGUCGACCGCCUGGGGAGUACGGCCGCAAGGUUAAACUCAAAUGAAUUGACGGGGCCCGCACAAGCGGGGAGCAUGUGGUUAAUUCGAAGCAACGCGAAGAACCUUACCAGGCCUUGACAUGCAGAGAACUUUCCAGAGAUGGAUUGGUGCCUUCGGGAACUCUGACACAGGUGCUGCAUUGCUGUCGUCAGCUCGUGUCGUGAGAUGUUGGGUUAAGUCCCGUAACGAGCGCAACCCUUGUCCUUAGUUACCAGCACGUUAAGGUGGGCACUCUAAGGAGACUGCCGGUGACAAACCGGAGGAAGGUGGAGAUGACGUCAAGUCAUCAUGGCCCUUACGACCUGGGCAACACACGUGUUACAAUGGUCGGUACAAAGGGUUGCCAAGCCGCGAGGUGGAGCUAAUCCCAUAAAACCGAUCGUAGUCCGGAUCGCAGUCUGCAAGACUUCUGUCUGAAGUCGGAAUCGCUAGUUAUCUUUAAUCAGAAUGCCGCGCAGAAUACGUUUCCCAACCUCGACACAACGUCCGUCCCACCAUGGGAGUGGGUUGCUUCAGAAGUAGCUACUUGAGCUUCUCCGGGAUCCGAACAGCAGA